Molecule: long non-coding RNA, 778 nt
Filed under: Homo sapiens (human)
Lineage: Eukaryota; Metazoa; Chordata; Mammalia; Primates; Hominidae
Description: non-protein coding lnc-PITRM1-8:1
Source: RNAcentral
ACGUUACUCUCUGGAGCCGCUUUUGCUCACAGCAUCAUCAGCCUCACGCGGCGCUGACUGCAUCCCUGCUGCAGAAGCAGGCGUGGGUAGGGGUCAGCGUGGCACGUGGGAGCUGGAGGUCGGGGUGUGAUCUCUGGGUUGUUAGACACAUCCCUGUGGUUGAAACAUGCACGUGAAAUGACAGUGAGAUGCCUGUGUCCCCUCCGGGACAUGAGUGCACAGCCCACAACGCGAGCUCCCGGGCAGCGGCUCCAUCGUGCCUGUGGAUUGUCUUCUAGGAAUGGACCACUUCUUGUACGGCCUCUCGGAUGAGAUGAAGCAGGCCCACAGAGAGCAGCUCUUUGCUGUCAGCCACGACAAGCUCCUGGCCGUGAGCGAUAGAUACCUCGGCACUGGGAAGAGCACACACGGCCUGGCCAUCCUCGGACCCGAGAACCCGAAAAUUGCCAAGGACCCAUCCUGGAUCAUCCAAUGAGCAGCCGUGGCGCUCGACUGCACAGGAGCCCGAGACAAUACACCUCCGAGCUGAAUAUGAAAAGUCAGAAAUGCUACUGCUUUUUCCAAGAAUAUUAUGUCAUUGAGUGUCGCCAAAGCCCUUGACUGGCGAGUCAAAAACUCAGAUCUAUCUUAAGAGUGACCAGGAAGAGGUUCAUUGAAAUAAUCAUGCAUGAAGCGCCAAAGAUGCACCAUGUAGAAUUUUCACUUUGUACUGGCAGGCUCGUUUUACCUCAUUCUAGAAUAUUUAAGAAUCUAAAAAUAAAGGGCAACUCUGACUUAA